RNAcentral lists this ribosomal RNA (497 nucleotides) under uncultured bacterium. Its description in RNAcentral is "partial 16S ribosomal RNA". It matches the Rfam family "Bacterial small subunit ribosomal RNA", at positions 28 to 507 of the family's 1533-position model. The record is from RNAcentral.
GAUGAACGCUGGCGGCGUGCCUAAUACAUGCAAGUCGAGCGAACGGACGAGAAGCUUGCUUCUCUGAUGUUAGCGGCGGACGGGUGAGUAACACGUGGAUAACCUACCUAUAAGACUGGGAUAACUUCGGGAAACCGGAGCUAAUACCGGAUGAUAUUUUGAACCGCAUGGUUCAAAAGUGAAAGACGGUCUUGCUGUCACUUAUAGAUGGAUCCGCGCUGCAUUAGCUAGUUGGUAAGGUAACGGCUUACCAAGGCAACGAUGCAUAGCCGACCUGAGAGGGUGAUCGGCCACACUGGAACGGAGACACGGUCCAGACUCCUACGGGAGGCAGCAGUAGGGAAUCUUCCGCAAUGGGCGAAAGCCUGACGGAGCAACGCCGCGUGAGUGAUGAAGGUCUUCGGAUCGUAAAACUCUGUUAUGAGGGAAGAACAUAUGUGUAAGUAACUGUGCACAUCUUGACGGUACCUAAUCAGAAAGCCACGGCUAACUACGUG